UAGGGAAUCUUCCACAAUGGACGCAAGUCUGAUGGAGCAACGCCGCGUAAGUGAAGAAGGCUUUCGGGUCGUAAAACUCUGUUAUUGAAGAAGAACGUGUGUGACAGUAACUGGUCAUGCAGUGACGGUAUUCAAUCAGAAAGUCACGGCUAACUACGUGCCAGCAGCCGCGGUAAUACGUAGGUGGCAAGCGUUGUCCGGAUUUAUUGGGCGUAAAGCGAGUGCAGGCGGUCUUUUAAGUCUGAUGUGAAAGCCUUCGGCUUAACCGAAGAAGGGCAUCGGAAACUGGGAGACUUGAGUGCAGAAGAGGAGAGUGGAACUCCAUGUGUAGCGGUGAAAUGCGUAGAUAUAUGGAAGAACACCAGUGGCGAAGGCGGCUCUCUGGUCUGUAACUGACGCUGAGGCUCGAAAGCGUGGGUAGCAAACAGGAUUAGAUACCCUGGUAGUCCACGCC
Molecule: ribosomal RNA, 454 nt
Filed under: uncultured bacterium
Lineage: Bacteria
Description: partial 16S ribosomal RNA
Rfam family: Bacterial small subunit ribosomal RNA
Source: RNAcentral